Salvelinus sp. IW2-2015 is the source of this 1145-nucleotide long non-coding RNA. RefSeq lists it as uncharacterized. The record is from RefSeq and is a predicted model, not a curated record. Lineage: Eukaryota; Metazoa; Chordata; Actinopteri; Salmoniformes; Salmonidae.
AUGUUGUAAUUAUGAUCCUAUCUCUUACAGAGAAGCAAAUCGUGAAGUGAAAGCACUGGCUACCUUGGAACAUUCUAACAUUGUUCGCUACUGUACGACUUGGGCUGAGUAUGCCAAUUGGGUCGAUGGAGGCUACAGCACAGAGUUUUCGGUCCUGUCUAAAAUCUCAGAAGACUGACAAUUAUUCAGACCAGGGAGAUGGAUCUACACAUGUAACAAAGCAAUCAGAUUUAGACCUGUCUGAAACAGCCAGCGAAGACCAAGCAAACCACUCAAUGACCGAUUCCAGCUCAAGCAGUAAGCAAGGGAUUUCAUCUGAUCAGCUGACCUCAUUUAUAGAUGAAAUCACCAGGUGAAUGACUGAAACACCUGGCAAAGUAUACUCAUGACCAAUAACCCACCACCGCCCCUAAAUGCAUCAUUCAUGCCAGUGUACCAACCUCGCAACUUGUCACAAGUGAAGAACACAAUUCGUCGAGCAAGGGACGUGACUGUUUUGAAACGGGGUGCGUUGGUGCCAACACAUAUGAUGGGUGACGUUCUUCCCAGAUUUGUCACCCAUAUGGAGACUGGACCCACAACCCUUCUGGUGGUGCCAACACAUAUGAUGGGUGACGUUCUUCCCAGAUUUGUCACCCAUAUGGAGACUGGACCCUUCUGGUGGUGGCAGAACCAGAAAUGGUUGAAGAGGCCAAGGCAGUCAUUAAAAUCAAACACCAAGGAGCUAUGGCACCACGUUUGACCUGGGCAAUUGUUAUGUUUCACCCCUUGUUUUCCGUCAUGUAGCUUUUCAAGAGGCACUUGUCCUUCUCCUGGCAUUCUUCAAACUGUUCUUUCACACCAUCCUUUCACUCCUUCUCCAACUGUCACCAGCAAUCUUCUGCGGCUAUUGAGGGUUGUAAUCCAGUCUGUGCUGCCGCAAGCCAGGAUUGUCAUUAGCUGGAACCACAUCAGGAACAAUGUGAAGCACAAGAUGGGGUCAGAGGGUGACCAAUCUGUGGCCGAUUAGCAGCAGGACAUCCAAGAGCUCUUGGCCUUCGAAGUCAAGGAGUGACAACGAAUGCACACCGGAGAGAGAGUGUGUCCACCGGAGAGAGAGUGUGUCCACCGGAGAGAGAGUGUCCACCGGAGAGAGAGUGUGUCCA